AUAUAUAUAUCAAACUUUCUCUUUGUUGAGCGGUUUGGAUGUGGGGGUUUGCUGGCCUCUUAAAAAGGUUCAGCUCCUCUGAAAUGCAUUAGCAGAACAAACCUGUUCAUUGGUGUGAUAACUAUCUACGCUAUUGAAUGUAAGGGGCAGUUCAGCUCUCUAAUGGUCCUCGGACAAUUCAUCAUUA
This 187-nucleotide unclassified non-coding RNA is filed under the name uncultured Cortinarius. Its description in RNAcentral is "sequence contains ITS2". Lineage: Eukaryota; Fungi; Basidiomycota; Agaricomycetes; Agaricales; Cortinariaceae. The record is from RNAcentral.